GCCAGAGCCAGAACUAGCCACAGCAGGGACAAAGCCACCUGGGCAGCUACUGGAGCCACGGGGAGUCGCAGGAAGGGAAGGCCCAGGAAGGCCUUGAGCACCUGCUGCCUCCACCCCUCCUGAGCGAAGGCCCCAACACCUCACUGAUGGGCUCAGAGCCCCCCUGUAACUUCUCCACUGCUGCCCACCGGUGCAAUGUGGGUGGCUUGCAGGCUGCGGUGAUCAUCAUCCCAACCCUGCUCUCCUCGUCCACUCUGCUGGUCAUAAGCUGCAUCUUAUGGAAGACCUGCCGUCGGUGGUCUCGGGUCACCCACCCCAGCCUGCCAUCCACAUGAGGGGCCCAGUGACCAACAUUAUUUGAGAUGGUGGCUUUUCCAUCACCCUGGGUUUCUGACUACGAAAAGCAGAGCCUUCUGUUGACCCACGAUGUUCAAGUUGU
Balaenoptera acutorostrata (minke whale) is the source of this 439-nucleotide long non-coding RNA. RefSeq lists it as uncharacterized. The transcript has 4 exons. The record is from RefSeq and is a predicted model, not a curated record. NCBI's taxonomy places the organism in Eukaryota, Metazoa, Chordata, Mammalia, Artiodactyla, Balaenopteridae.